CAACGAGCGCAACCCUCGCCUUUAGUUGCCAUCAUUCAGUUGGGCACUCUAGAGGGACCGCCGGCGACAAGCCGGAGGAAGGUGGGGAUGACGUCAAGUCCUCAUGGCCCUUACACCCUGGGCUACACACGUGCUACAAUGGCGGUGACAGUGGGCAGCUACUUCGCGAGAAGCGGCUAAUCCCAAAAAACCGUCCCAGUUCGGAUUGCACUCUGCAACUCGAGUGCAUGAAGGUGGAAUCGCUAGUAAUCGCAGAACAGCAGGCUGCGGUGAAUACGUUCCCGGGCCUUGUACACACCGCCCGUCACGGCAUGGGAGUUGGUUCUACCUUAAGACGGUGCGCUAACCCGCAAGGGAGGCAGCCGGCCACGGUAGGAUCAGCGACUGGGCCGAAGUCGUAACAAGUAAC
RNAcentral lists this ribosomal RNA (409 nucleotides) under uncultured Alphaproteobacteria bacterium. Its description in RNAcentral is "bacterial SSU rRNA". It matches the Rfam family "Bacterial small subunit ribosomal RNA", at positions 1090 to 1499 of the family's 1533-position model. Lineage: Bacteria; Pseudomonadati; Pseudomonadota; Alphaproteobacteria. The record is from RNAcentral.